GGUACCCUACGGGGGGCAGCAGUAGGGAAUCUUCCACAAUGGGCGCGAGCCUGAUGGAGCAACACCGCGUGAGUGAAGAAGGGUUUCGGCUCGUAAAGCUCUGUUGUUGGAGAAGAACGUGCGUGAGAGUAACUGUUCACGCAGUGACGGUAUCCCACCAGAAAGUCACGGCUAACUACGUGCCAGCAGCCGCGGUAAUACGUAGGUGGCAAGCGUUAUCCGGACUUAUUGGGCGUAAAGCGAG
RNAcentral lists this ribosomal RNA (244 nucleotides) under uncultured bacterium. RNAcentral's name for it is "partial 16S ribosomal RNA". It matches the Rfam family "Bacterial small subunit ribosomal RNA", at positions 333 to 569 of the family's 1533-position model. The record is from RNAcentral.